This 253-nucleotide ribosomal RNA is filed under the name uncultured bacterium. RNAcentral's name for it is "partial 16S ribosomal RNA". It matches the Rfam family "Bacterial small subunit ribosomal RNA", at positions 524 to 776 of the family's 1533-position model. The record is from RNAcentral.
UACGUAGGGCGCAAGCGUUGUCCGGAAUUAUUGGGCGUAAAGAGCUCGUAGGCGGUUUGUCGCGUCGAAUGUGAAAACCCGGGGCUCAACCGUGGAGGGUCAUUGGAAACUGGGAGACUUGAGUGCAGAAGAGGAGAGUGGAAUUCCACGUGUAGCGGUGAAAUGCGUAGAGAUGUGGAGGAACACCAGUGGCGAAGGCGACUCUCUGGUCUGUAACUGACGCUGAGGAGCGAAAGCGUGGGGAGCAAACAGG